CCGCGCCGGGUUCCGCGCUGCGUCCAGGCCCGAGAGACGCCCCGGGCCGAGCCGACCGCCGCCGCGGAUCGAGGGAGGGAGCCCGGCCUCCUCACCGUUCAGGAGAGCUGAGGAUGUCAGACAGGCCACAGCCCCUCCAGACGCCCUAUGGGAUAAUCCGUCCUACCUUUGCCUCAGGUAGCUGGGACCACAGGCACCUAACACUUCCAGCUUCCGCGUCCUUGGCUGCAGCCCCAUCGCCCCCUCCCGCCCCCACAUCCACCAUCACGCGGCUUCUCCUGUGUCUCUGUCUCCGUGUGCUGCCCUUCUUAGGAUGCCAUCGCGUUGGAGCGGGACCACCCAGCCAAUGACAUCCGCAAUGACCCUAUUCCCAUGCCACAUUCUAAUAGACCAGCGGCUACGACUGGAUCCUAUCUGUUUGGGAACCACCAUUCAGCCCUGGACCUGUGUGGGGCUGAUAGCCCCCAGUGCUGGCUCCCCCAGGCCACCCUGCAACCACCCUCAUCAUAGAUGCCACGACAGUGGAGGCCAAGGGCCCUUCCUGGUGCCCCGGUGAGUGGCAUGGCCAGGACCUGACCCUCCCAUGCCUCUGUGGCAGAGCAAGGUGGGUGGGGAACUGGCUGUCCUGCUCCCAGCGGCAUUCCUGGCACCUAUGCCCCGCCCAGCCCAGAGCAGAUGUCAACACACAUCUGGGUGUCAGGCAGCCCCGUGUCACUGAGUGGGGUAAACAAGGGAGGGUGAGAGGAAGGUCAGAAGGCCAUGGCUGAGGGCGUAGGUGUGGGCUCUAGCUCUUGCUUCCCAGAACACAGACUGACCUUGGUGGCAGACCUCACCAUGGGAGCCCCCAAAAGCUGCUUGCCUGGGGCCUCCAGGCCUCUUGCGGGGCCCUAAAAGCACAGGGAUCCAGGACAAGAGGUGCGGGGGCCCCCGCCUGGGCACCAGCCUGCAUGGGCCAGAGCAAGCCACUUCCCCUCAGGUUUGGGGAAUGCCUGAGUCAGACCUGCAGAGGCAACUUCUCCAUCUGCCUGGCUCCCAAGCCCUGUGGCAGGAGGGGAGCCAAGAAAUGAAAGGGCCCGGUGGGUGUGGACGGGCCCUGUUUCCAUCUGGACUUGGCCAGUGCCUGUGGCACGCCCUGCUCUGUCCCUGGGGCACCCGGGCAUGUGGCUCAGCUGAAAGGGUGACCAUGGGCACCAUCUGCCUGGCUUCCAGGUCCUGAGGCCGGAGAGGAGCCAAGAAAUGAAAGGGCCUGGUGGAUGUGGGUGGGCCUCAGUGUCUGCCUGCUCCAGGAGGAGGGGGGUGGGCACUGACUCCUGGUUGAGGGCUGGGGGCAGGGAGGCUCCUCUGGACAGGAAGAUCCUCCAGGAACAGACCAGCAAGACCGGCACUGUCCAGAUGGGACAGGAGCCGGACAGCGGCGUCAGACACGCCCCACAGCGGCCACAACCACAGCCACUUCCCAGAGGUCAAGACCUGGAGGCUGGCCGGGCGUGGUGGCUCACGCCUGUAAUCCCAGCACUUUGAGAGGCCGAGGCAGGCGGAUCACAAAGUCAGGAGAUCGAGACCAUCCUGGCUAACAUGGUGAAACCCCGUCUCUACUAAAAAUGCAAAAAAUUAGCUGGGCGCGGUGGCGGGCGCCUGUGGUCCCAGCUAAUCCAGAGGCUGAGGCAGGAGAAUGGCGUGAACCCGAGAGGCGGAGCUUGCAGUGAGCCGAGAUGGCGCUACUGCACUCCAGCCUGGGCGACAGAGCGAGACUCUGUCUCAAAAAAAAAAAAAA
RNAcentral lists this long non-coding RNA (1774 nucleotides) under Macaca fascicularis (crab-eating macaque). RNAcentral describes it as "lncRNA (ENSMFAG00000060145.1)". The record is from RNAcentral. Lineage: Eukaryota; Metazoa; Chordata; Mammalia; Primates; Cercopithecidae.